This 30-nucleotide small RNA is filed under the name Bombyx mori (domestic silkworm). RNAcentral's name for it is "ovarian small RNA-26615". Lineage: Eukaryota; Metazoa; Arthropoda; Insecta; Lepidoptera; Bombycidae. The record is from RNAcentral.
UCCAAUUCGUUCGCUAUCGCCUGGGCCAUA